This 200-nucleotide ribosomal RNA is filed under the name uncultured bacterium. Its description in RNAcentral is "partial 16S ribosomal RNA". It matches the Rfam family "Bacterial small subunit ribosomal RNA", at positions 328 to 539 of the family's 1533-position model. The record is from RNAcentral.
ACGCUCGACACCUACGGGAGGCAGCAGUGGGGAAUAUUGCACAAUGGGGGAAACCCUGAUGCAGCGACGCCGCGUGGAGGAAGAAGGUCUUCGGAUUGUAAACUCCUGUUGUUGGGGAAAAAGAGGAUGGUACCCAACAAGGAAGUGACGGCUAACUACGUGCCUGCAGCCGACGGUAAUCUGAGGCGGGCUGGCAAGGC